UGGGGAAUUUUGGACAAUGGGGGCAACCCUGAUCCAGCAAUGCCGCGUGUGUGAAGAAGGCCUUCGGGUUGUAAAGCACUUUUGUCCGGGAAGAAAUCGCACCUGAUAAUACCGGGUGUGGAUGACGGUACCGGAAGAAUAAGGACCGGCUAACUACGUGCCAGCAGCCGCGGUAAUACGUAGGGUCCAAGCGUUAAUCGGAAUUACUGGGCGUAAAGCGUGCGCAGGCGGUUGUGCAAGACCGAUGUGAAAUCCCCGGGCUUAACCUGGGAAUUGCAUUGGUGACUGCACGGCUAGAGUGUGUCAGAGGGGGGUAGAAUUCCACGUGUAGCAGUGAAAUGCGUAGAGAUGUGGAGGAAUACCGAUGGAGAAGGCAGCCCCCUGGGAUAACACUGACGCUCAUGAACGAAAGCGUGGGGAGCAAACAGG
RNAcentral lists this ribosomal RNA (429 nucleotides) under Bacillota bacterium. RNAcentral describes it as "Firmicutes bacterium partial 16S ribosomal RNA". It matches the Rfam family "Bacterial small subunit ribosomal RNA", at positions 355 to 776 of the family's 1533-position model. The record is from RNAcentral. Lineage: Bacteria; Bacillati; Bacillota.